Molecule: ribosomal RNA, 419 nt
Filed under: uncultured bacterium
Lineage: Bacteria
Description: partial 16S ribosomal RNA
Rfam family: Bacterial small subunit ribosomal RNA
Source: RNAcentral
AAUAUUGGACAAUGGCCGAGAGGCUGAUCCAGCCAUGCCGCGUGCGGGAGGACGGCCCUAUGGGUUGUAAACCGCUUUUGUUGGGGAGCAAUAAGUGUUACGUGUAACAUGAUGAGAGUACCCAGCGAAUAAGCAUCGGCUAACUCCGUGCCAGCAGCCGCGGUAAUACGGAGGAUGCAAGCGUUAUCCGGAUUUAUUGGGUUUAAAGGGUGCGUAGGCGGGCUGCUAAGCGUGAGGUGAAAUGCCACGGCUCAACCGUGGAACUGCCUCGCGAACUGGUAGUCUUGAAUGUCCGUGCCGUGGGAGGAAUGUGUGGUGUAGCGGUGAAAUGCAUAGAGAUCACACAGAACACCGAUUGCGAAGGCAUCUCACGAACGGAUGAUUGACGCUGAGGCACGGAAGCGUGGGGAUCAAACAGG